Triticum urartu is the source of this 1740-nucleotide non-coding RNA. The record is from RefSeq and is a predicted model, not a curated record. Lineage: Eukaryota; Viridiplantae; Streptophyta; Magnoliopsida; Poales; Poaceae.
GUCGCGUCCAGCGGAAAGAAAGAAUCCGGUCAUCCAACCGACGGCCUCCAUCCAAUUCGUCACGUGAAGAUGAGAUGAUCACCUCCUCACCUCGAUCGGCCGGCCUUCCAGCCACCUUCCAGUCCAUGCUGCUGUUAUAAUUAUAAAUACGUCACACACUGAAGCUCCUGGUUCUUCCAUCAGAAUCGGAUCCCUCUCUUCUUCUUGCUCUAGCACUCUUCACUAAGUCUCCACGGUAGAUGGAGGGCGUCGAGGAGAUCGUCAUCGCCGGCGCCGGGCUCGCCGGCCUCGCCACGGCCCUGGGGCUGCACAGGAAAGGGGUGAGGUGCGUGGUGCUGGAGUCGUCGGCGACGCUGCGGGCGUCGGGGUACGCCUUCACCACAUGGACCAACGCCUUCCGCGCGCUGGAUGCGCUCGGUGUCGGGGACAAGAUCAGGGAGCACCAUCUCCUCUACGAGAGGCUGGUGGCCUUCUCUGCGUCCACGGGCGAGGCUGCCGCAAAAGUGAGCCUAAAGAUGCAGGGUAAAAGCGGGCCUCACGAGAUCCGGUGCGUGAAGCGCAACUUCCUGCUAGAGACGCUGGAGAACGAGCUGCCGGAGGGCACCAUCAGGUACUCCUCCAAGAUGGUCGCCAUUGAGAUCGAGGAAGAGGGCAACGUGAAGCUCCUGCACAUGGCCGACGGCUCCACCAUCAGAGCCAACGUUCUUGUGGGGUGUGACGGAGUGAACUCGGUGGUGGCGAGGUGGCUGGGCCUGCCCAAGCCCAUCCUCUCGGGGCGGUCCGCCACCAGGGGCCUCGCCGAGUACCCGGACGGCCACGGCUUCGGGCCGGAGAUGCUGCAGUUCAUCGGCCAGGGCUUCCGCUCCGGCGUGCUCCCCUGCUCCGACACCUCCGUGUACUGGAACUUCACCUGGUACCCGUCCCCGGCGGACGGGGACGCGGAGGAGAGUGUGGCCAAGAUGCGGCGGCACGUGCUGGCCAGGCUGACGGCCGCCAAGAUCCCGGCGGAGGCGCUGGACGUGGUGGAGCGGAGCGAGAUGAGCGAGGUGGUGUCGUCGCCGCUGCGGUUCCGGUCGCCGCUGGCGCUGGUCCGGGGUAGCAUCUGCAGGGGCGGCGUGUGCGUGGCCGGCGACGCGUUCCACCCGAUGACCCCGGAGCUCGGCCAGGGCGGCUGCGCGGCGCUGGAGGACGGCGUCGUCCUCGCCCGGUGCCUCGGGGAGGCCUUCGCCGUCGGCGGGCACGGGAGCGCCGAGGCGGCCCUGGAGAAGUACGCCCAGGAGCGGAGGUGGCGCGCCGUCCGGCUGGUCACUGCCGCGUACGUUGUCGGCUUCGUGCAGCAGAGCAGCAACCCGGCGAUCAAGUUCCUCAGGGAGAAGUUCCUGUCGGGGUUGCUGGCCAGAGUGAUGGUCGACAUGGCCGACUACGACUGCGGGAAGCUCUAGUAGUUCUGCCAUUCCUUCCUUCACGACGGCAGAACAAGAACGACGAGAGAAAACGAAUCAGUUAAAACGGCAUCAAUCAAAUUUGAUACCUGAUAGGAUUAUUAGUCUACAAUAUGUAGAUGAUACCCUCUAUUUCAUGGAAAACAGUCAAAAAAUGGCAAUAAAAUGGAGGAAGCACGUAUAACUUAAGGCAUGUACAAUGGUUGAUAAGAUAGUCUUAUCUUAGGUCUUGCAUGUAAUUAAGAGAUGACAAAAAUAAGAUGUCUAUAAUGGAUCAUUUUUUAGCCUUAGGGCAUGU